ACUCUCUUAGUAUAAAUAAUAUAACUGACUUCCAAUCAGUAGAUUCUGAAAUUACCGGAAGAGAGUA
Molecule: transfer RNA, 67 nt
Filed under: Apodemus draco (South China field mouse)
Lineage: Eukaryota; Metazoa; Chordata; Mammalia; Rodentia; Muridae
Description: tRNA-Gly
Source: RNAcentral